GAGUCAUUCAAAGCAUGGAAACCCAAAUAAAUGCCUUAAUUGUGAUAAAUAAACACAGCCCUGAAUAAUGUCAAAAAAUAAAAAUGGAAUUUCAAAAAAAAAAAAAAAAAUUGUAAAAUAAACAAAAAUUUAACAGACAAAAUUUUUCACAACGACAUAAGACAAAACGAGUCAAUGUGCACAUGGCAUAAGAGAGUCUCUCUCCUUAAAGAUCACCAACAGACUACUGGAUAACACUAUCAUAGCUUUCCCUGAGUGACUUAAAAAAUUCCCGAAAAUAACUACCUAUUACGAGUUAAGAAUAUUCUAGCAGAGCGAAAUAACAAAAACGUCCAUUCCACUCAAUGGUUCAACGGUGCAUAGUUAAACGCAUCAAAAUACAACGCUUGUGUUGGUCAGGUCAUGUCAGAAUGAAUGAAGAAAUCCCAUCGAAGAAGUCUUUUGAUGGCGAUCACUGUGCAAAGAUCAAGUGGUGAGAGACAUAUUCAAAUUUGGUGUCAGAUUAUAGAAGGAGCGCAGAAGAUCGAGGCGGUUGAAACGAUAUUCUAAAGUUCGGCUAAAGGGACAAAUGUUCCGUCAUAGCCAAUUGAAGUGAAAAAUCAAAACAGACCUAUUGGCCUAAGCUGGAAUAACAAGACGAUAGCAUACCUUGGAAAUAUCUUUUUUUAUACUUAUGCCAUGCUUC
Molecule: long non-coding RNA, 685 nt
Organism: Stomoxys calcitrans (stable fly)
Lineage: Eukaryota; Metazoa; Arthropoda; Insecta; Diptera; Muscidae
Exons: 3
Source: RefSeq, a predicted model, not a curated record